RNAcentral lists this ribosomal RNA (320 nucleotides) under Cyclophora tenuis. RNAcentral describes it as "partial Bacterial large subunit ribosomal RNA". It matches the Rfam family "Bacterial large subunit ribosomal RNA", at positions 2592 to 2925 of the family's 2925-position model. The record is from RNAcentral. Lineage: Eukaryota; Bacillariophyta; Fragilariophyceae; Cyclophorales; Cyclophoraceae.
AGCGGUACGCGAGCUGGGUUCAGACCGUCGUGAGACAGGUCGGUCUCUAUCCGGCGUGGGCGCAGGAAAGCUGCGGAGAUUUGCCCCUAGUACGAGAGGAUUGGGGCGGACGAACCCCUGGUGUACCAGUUAUCGCGCUAGCGGUACCGCUGGGUAGCUAAGUUCGGAACGGAUAAGCGCUGAAAGCAUAUAAGCGCGAAGCCCACUCCAAGAUGAGCUUUCCCCAUCAGGCUCCUGGUAGAACACCAGGUUGAUAGGCUGGAAGUGUAAGUGCAGUAAUGUAUUGAGCUCACCAGUACUAAUCGGCCGAUCGACUUGAC